ACACUUAAUAGCAAAGGAUAACAUUUUUUGGUUUCUAAUCAUAUUCCACAACUAUAUUUUCAUCUGAGCAUAUUAUAAAUAAUAAUUCGAAGAAUUUUUAAAAACAAAAAAAAUCUUUUUCAUAAUGGGAAGUGCUGAAAGUAAAUCCUCAUCAGAAUGCAAUGGAAAUUCUACCGCUGUUGCUGUCACAGCAAAUUACAAACCGCAGGGGGGAGGAAGUUCUUCUGUACCACCGAAUACUAACCUGCCAACGUUUCAACCCCCUAAAAAACCGAAAAACAAGAGCACUUAAAGCAGUUCUUCUUAGGCAUAACUUUCUUCCUAGUAGACGUACACUUAUUGUUAGUCUUUCAUUAGAGUAAAUAUAAUGAAGUAUGGAUAAGAUGUUAUCAAUAUUAAGGUUAACCAUUAUAACGGAGUAUUUUCCAAAAUCAGCGUGUAAACAAACCAUACAAACAAGGGUUAAUUUUAUUACCGAAUUAAAAUAAUUAAUUCUAAUUCAAAUCAUUAAUUAUAAUUCUUAAAACAAUCAUUUUUUCAUGAAUAUUCAUAAUUUCUAUACACUUAAUUUUUCAGGACUAAAAAUUGUUGGGAUGAAAAUAAUUUUAUUUAAUCAGUCAGUGUUCAGCCAUGCAUCAUGCAAAUCAAAAAGAUAGUUGGGCCGAUAUACAUAAGGGAAAAUUUGGGGAGAAGAUGCGACGGAGAAAGUGAGAGAAAGUUGGCGCAGAAAAAACAAUGGGGAAAAGAAGAGGAACAAAAGCUGAGAUGAAAUUCAUAAAGGAAACAAUGAGAAUCUGACAAAAUCCGAAUUCGAUCAUUUCAAGGAUUCGAUGGAUUCGAUGGAUGAAUCAUGGAUUCGAUUGUUCAUCAAUAUUGACUGUAAUCACGCAAAUUUGCAAUAUUUUAACAACUGAGGGGAAGAAAGUGGUAGAAUGAUUUUUAACUUUAUAAACUUUGUGUGAAAGCUACAGCAAAUCUAUUUCAAAUCAUUUAGGGAAUAAAUUUUUAUAAAUAAACAUAUUUGACUUGUAAGUUUAACAAUAAUAAUAAGUUUGAUAAAUUUGUAAAAAAAAAA
Molecule: long non-coding RNA, 1075 nt
Organism: Folsomia candida
Lineage: Eukaryota; Metazoa; Arthropoda; Collembola; Entomobryomorpha; Isotomidae
Exons: 3
Source: RefSeq, a predicted model, not a curated record